RNAcentral lists this long non-coding RNA (571 nucleotides) under Oryctolagus cuniculus (rabbit). Its description in RNAcentral is "lncRNA (ENSOCUG00000033349.1)". The record is from RNAcentral. Lineage: Eukaryota; Metazoa; Chordata; Mammalia; Lagomorpha; Leporidae.
CCCCGCUACUGAGCACGCGCAACGUCCCUACAGAUGCAGCCAAUCAGAAUCCGCCCUGUACUAGGCCAGCAGCUUGCGUGCGGUUGUGCCGUGUGAAGCCCGAGUGAGUGACAGGGUUUGAGUUCAGAGCCUCCGCCUCCUUGGCCCAGAACCUCCCUACAGCUGGGGUGCCUCAGCUUCCUGGUGGUCUCGCCUGCUGGGAUCCAGUCCUACCUGCUGUGCCCAUGCACUGCUGGGAGAUCGGGAUCUGGAGCUUGGAGUUACCUGCUGUGGAAGACACAACUACCAAGAAAAUGUUAAAAAGUGCCAAACAGUCACUGAAAACUUAAAAAAGAGAUACCAGUACCAGCAACUUCACAUUUUAAAAUCCACAAAUUUACAAUGAUGGAGGCAAAACUGUCUGUCAUCUCACUCUUACACAAGGUUUAUUCUGCUAGAUUUAUUAUCCGGACACAGAGAGAAGAGCUCCGACAUAACUCAUCCAAAAGCUAGAAUGGAAAAUAAUUGUUUCCUGUCUUGCACUCCAUCAUGCCACAUCUUUCAAUAAAAUAGUGAAAGAGGUACUAAAUCA